CCUACGGGUGGCAGCAGUGGGGGAUAUUGGUCAAUGGGGGAAACCCUGAACCAGCAACGCCGCGUGAGGGAAGACGGCCUUCGGGUUGUAAACCUCAGUGAUGAGAGAUGAUACUAAUGACAGUACAUGAAAAGCAAGCUCCGGCUAACUACGUACCAGCAGCCGCGGUAAUACGUAGGGAACAAGCGUUGUCCGGAUUUACUGGGUGUAAAGGGGGCGUAGGCGGGCACACAAGUCAGGCGUGAAAUACCGUUGCUUAACUCCGGGGCUGCGUUUGAAACUGUGUUUUUGGAGUGAAGUAGAGGUAGGUGGAAUUCCUGGUGUAGGUGUGGAAUGCGUAGAUAUUAAGAGGAAUACUCGUUGCGAAGGCGACCUGCUGGGACUUUACUGACGCUGAUGCACGAAAGCAUGGGGAGCAAACAGGAUUAGAUACCCCUGUAGUC
RNAcentral lists this ribosomal RNA (443 nucleotides) under uncultured bacterium. RNAcentral's name for it is "partial 16S ribosomal RNA". It matches the Rfam family "Bacterial small subunit ribosomal RNA", at positions 338 to 795 of the family's 1533-position model. The record is from RNAcentral.